This 1105-nucleotide long non-coding RNA is filed under the name Solanum tuberosum (potato). RNAcentral's name for it is "long non-coding RNA (STUB_LNC000521)". Lineage: Eukaryota; Viridiplantae; Streptophyta; Magnoliopsida; Solanales; Solanaceae. The record is from RNAcentral.
GGCAGUACGAUCCCAGAAGCCAGGCACGCGUUUCUCCCCUUUCCUCUUUCGGAAUGGGGAGAAAAUUUCAGAAAAGGAUGUCUCCUCCAAAUCGGUGAAAGAAUUCGAAUUUUGAAUUCAGGAUUGACCCCAAAUUUCUAUUGGAAUUCCCCCCAAAAUCUACCCUUUUUUCCUAUAUAAUCAUCUCCUCUAUUAUUUUGUAAAGGGGGGAUUUUUUUUUAGUUGAAAAAUUUAGAGUAAAAUAAGGAAGUUGAAUUCUCUUUUGAAAACACUUUCAUACUAAAAAAAUAAAAAUAAAAAUUCAGCCGAUUCUCUCAUCUAAAGUUACGAGAAAACCUUUGUUCGAUUUUGAUUCGCUGUUUUGUUAGUUGUCUCGAGACCAAAGUCGUUGGUGGAACAAUCGCUGGUCGUUUACUCAUUUUCGUCCCGGAACGCUGCUCCAAAGAAGGUAACCUCUCCUCCUCUUAAAUUUGUUUUGCUAUUUCGGCUAAAUUCAGAUGUAUGCUAUAUGAAUUUAAUUCAUUGUGUGAUUUUAUUUGGUUAUUUUGUGGUUCCUAUAUAUGAUCUGCCCCUGCUGCUUAUGAAAGAUAUGGUCAUGUAUAUAUAUAUAUUUUAGUGGUAUAAAAUGGCAGUGUAAGAGCUUACCACUAGCUAUUGUUGCUACCCUUUGUUCUCCACAAUGUAAGGCAUAUUACUAAGAUACAAAUCGAUUUGAAUGAAGCUAUAGUAAUCUUGGUUGCUUGUCUUUUAUUUGUUUCUUCCUUUAGUUAUUGGUGUAGAUUCUCAUUAAUAUUAGCUUAGUCCCAUGAAGUGUAAGCUCUACUUUCGUUUCGGCCAGAACAUUGUUCACCUAUAUCAUGUUUUCGAUUCCUGAUUUAAGGUAGUUAUAGCUUUCUACUUUACUCUUGUUUAUAGUCUUGUAGUUAAGAUUUCUUACUCAUUUCAUGUCAUUGGGUUCAACUGUCAUCUCAUUAUUAAUAUACAUCUCUCCAUUCAUCGGAACCCGUUAGCCUAAUAGUUAUAAAAAAUGCAUUUUGUUGCUCUUAGUGACCAUGCUAAAUUUCAAAAUUUCCGUUAGCCGUCUCAUGUUAGCGUUCAAAUUAAG